UGGUUCUGGCAUCGAUGAAGAACGCAGCGAAAUGCGAUAAGUAAUGUGAAUUGCAGAAUUCAGUGAAUCAUCGAAUCUUUGAACGCACAUUGCGCCCGCUAGUAUUCUGGCGGGCAUGCCUGUCUGAGCGUCAUUUCAACCCUCGAGCUCCGGUGUCCUAGCGGCAGCGGUAGUACGGCGUUGGGGAUCGGCCCGCCCUGGCGGCGCCGUCCCUCAAAUACAGUGGCGGUCUCGCCCGCACCUCCCCCUGCGUAGUAAAACACCUCGCACCGGGAAGCGGUGAGGCUCUGCCGUAAAACACCCAACUUCUGAACAGUUGACCUCAGAUCAGGUAGGAAUACCCGCUGA
RNAcentral lists this unclassified non-coding RNA (348 nucleotides) under uncultured fungus. Its description in RNAcentral is "partial contains 5.8S ribosomal RNA and internal transcribed spacer 2". The stretch from base 1 to 133 matches the Rfam family "5.8S ribosomal RNA", at positions 22 to 154 of the family's 154-position model. Lineage: Eukaryota; Fungi. The record is from RNAcentral.